RNAcentral lists this ribosomal RNA (253 nucleotides) under uncultured bacterium. RNAcentral describes it as "partial 16S ribosomal RNA". It matches the Rfam family "Bacterial small subunit ribosomal RNA", at positions 524 to 776 of the family's 1533-position model. The record is from RNAcentral.
UACCGAGGUCCCAAGCGUUGUUCGGAUUCAUUGGGCGUAAAGGGUGCGUAGGCGGCGCGGUAAGUCGGGUGUGAAAUCUCGGGGCUUAACUCCGAAACUGCAUUCGAUACUGCCGUGCUUGAGGACUGGAGAGGAGACUGGAAUUUACGGUGUAGCGGUGAAAUGCGUAGAUAUCGUAAGGAAGACCAGUGGCGAAGGCGGGUCUCUGGACAGUUCCUGACGCUGAGGCACGAAGGUCAGGGGAGCAAACGGG